CCUACGGGGGGCAGCAGUGAGGAAUAUUGGUCAAUGGGCGCGAGCCUGAACCAGCCAAGUAGCGUGAAGGAUGACUGCCCUACGGGUUGUAAACUUCUUUUGUAAAGGAAUAAAGUCAGGCACGUGUGCCUGUUUGUAUGUACUUUAUGAAUAAGGAUCGGCUAACUCCGUGCCAGCAGCCGCGGUAAUACGGAGGAUCCGAGCGUUAUCCGGAUUUAUUGGGUUUAAAGGGUGCGUAGAUGGGUGGUUAAGUCAGUUGUGAAAGUUUGGGGCUCAACCGGAAAACUGCAGUUGAUACUGGCAGUCUUGAGUACAGUUGAGGUAGGCGGAAUGCGUGGUGUAGCGGUGAAAUGCUUAGAGAUCACGCAGAACUCCGAUUGCGAAGGCAGCUUACGAAACUGCCACUGACAUUGAGGCUCGAAAGCGUGGGUAUCAAACAGGAUUAGAUACCCCUGUAGUC
Molecule: ribosomal RNA, 460 nt
Filed under: uncultured bacterium
Lineage: Bacteria
Description: partial 16S ribosomal RNA
Rfam family: Bacterial small subunit ribosomal RNA
Source: RNAcentral